RNAcentral lists this microRNA precursor (102 nucleotides) under Podarcis lilfordi (Lilford's wall lizard). Lineage: Eukaryota; Metazoa; Chordata; Lepidosauria; Squamata; Lacertidae. The record is from RNAcentral.
CUUCCAGUAGCACCUUAGAGACCAACUAAGUUAGUUAUUGGUAUGAGCUUUCGUGUGCAUGCCAAUAAGUAACUUAGUUGGUCUCUAAGGUGCUACUGGAAG